UACGAAGGGGGCUAGCGUUGCUCGGAAUCACUGGGCGUAAAGGGUGCGUAGGCGGGUCUUUAAGUCAGGGGUGAAAUCCUGGAGCUCAACUCCAGAACUGCCUUUGAUACUGAGGAUCUUGAGUUCGGGAGAGGUGAGUGGAACUGCGAGUGUAGAGGUGAAAUUCGUAGAUAUUCGCAAGAACACCAGUGGCGAAGGCGGGUUGCUGGGCUGACACUGACGCUGAAGCGCGAAAGCUAGGGGAGCGAACGGG
This 253-nucleotide ribosomal RNA is filed under the name uncultured bacterium. Its description in RNAcentral is "partial 16S ribosomal RNA". It matches the Rfam family "Bacterial small subunit ribosomal RNA", at positions 524 to 776 of the family's 1533-position model. The record is from RNAcentral.